CACCCCCCGCACCCCUUGGGCAGCCGCUGCCCAGGGGCUCCCGCCGGCCGGGCGGAGGGACCGGUGGAGUCAUGAUUCAGCACUUCUGUUUAUCAGCGGCCGGGGGGCGGCCGGGCUUGUCGCUUAAUUAAACAUUGACGGCCGAUAUGAGUGGAGUUCCCGCGUAGAGACGGUCCGGGUGAAAGUAAAACCUCUGCGUGCCCGUCCCACGCCGCUCCCGAGAAGUCGGUGUGCUGGGAAAAGUGUAAAAAUGGGAAUUGUUGACCUGAGGGAAAUCCUCGCGCUUCCCUGCAGCCGAGGGUGAAGGAGCGGCCCCGAGUAUUUCCCACAGCGAGGGCACAUCCCCACACUGAGGAGAAACCCCCACAGACCCACUCCGGGGGAUCCCCGAGUUGUCUGAGGGAAGAAGGCAGAAAGGUCAGGGGACUGGCCACAGAGAGCACUCAGAGCUGAGCCUAGAAAGCAGACUUCGUGUUUCCCACGCCUACGUAUCAACAACUAGACUUGGCUUGCCUACACCAGAAAAUAGACUGGCAUAGCUGGAGCUGGGUAAUUAUACUGUAACAGUUUAUGCCGGAAUAACUCUCCUUGUGGACACUCUCCUCCAGAUGGAAAGUGACUUCCCAAAAGCUGUCCAAAUGAAUUCACUCAACAGCACACACUUGGAGUUUUGUCUUCCCCCCCCCUCCCACCCCCCUUUCCCUCUUCAUUUUGGGGGGUAAAAAUUCCUGAGAUAUGGGUCUCGGCAGCGUUUUGAAGCCUUUGAUCACUUUUACAGACCAUUAAAAGCGGGGACAAAUGCAAAACAUGUCAUUGAAAUGCUACAAGUCUUGUUGUCAAGAUUUUUAUGGUGCUUUUCAUCAAAAUGUUGAAAACUGAAAGCUUCCAGCUGGCUCUCCAUGCAGGUAAUAACUUAAUAGCUAACAGCUUUUCUCCCAGAGCUCCUGGAACCUGCCUGAGCCAUGGAAGCUGAUGGGAAAAUCCAGACCCAUCCUCUACAGUAAAUAUUUUCUGGGUUUUUUUUUAAUCCUGCUGCUCUGAAAGCCUUUGAAACCAAAUGAAGCUCUGAAAACAAGGAGGAGUGACCAAGGGAAAAGUACAGGGAAGGGAAUAAAGUAACAGGAGUUGUCUUUGUAAAUCAGCUAACUCCAAGGGCUGCAGAGAUGAGCACAUCCUCACUACAGAAACACGGGGCUGAAUCACUGUUUCAAGGCAGACCUUGGCUCUGGGCUCUAGCAAGAGCUCCACAGUGAUUUACAUUGCCCAGCUCAGCAGAACUGCUGUGGUGAUCUUGAUCAAGUGAUGGCUUGGGGAUCAAGAGAGCCAGAUUCACAUCCAACAGUGACCAGAGGUCCUCCACAUGAUUUUGGCCAAGCCAUUAUUGCCUUGCGUUUUUCAGCUCUGCAUUUCUGAAACAGCAAUUAAUGCACUGAGAGCUUCUCUUCUGCGGAGCAGGGUCCCAAGAGCAGUUCUCAGCUUUGCCACAUUACAGAGGUCCUUCUGGCACACCUCUGAAAGAGCCAUUCCUGGAGCUCCUGGGAGCCCCUUUCCAUUGCCAUCCACAGGACCUCAGCCCUGCCUGCCCUGGGACAGUGUCCUGCCACACAAGUCUGGCUGUCCCCAGGAUCAGAGGCUGUGCCAGGAGCCACCUCCUCAAGAGCUCUGAUGUCCUCCUUGGCAUUUGCUCAGUCUCCCCGAGCCUUGGUUCCCCUCCUGUGUGCUGGAGAUAACAGAGCUCCCUGGUCUGACAGGAGAGUUUAAUUUCUCAUCAUUUGACAGCAAUGUGCUUUGAUAGGUUUGAUAGGCUCAGCCUGCUUUCAGCUAAAUAUUUAACCAUUUAACCCAUAAAUAUGUGUGUGUAUAUGCACAUGCACAUGUGAGAAUUGUUAUUCAAAACUUCCAUCAUGCUUUUUAUGUAAAUUCUGGUUUAAAGUUUCUAAUUCCCCUUUUUUUUUAUAUGCCUGUUUAAGGUCAAGGUGCUCUAGGAGUUCACUCCCAAAACUUUCUAUUUGGUAUUCACGUAAAUAGUAGCUCAGCACAGCGUAAGCUCCAGCCUUAUGUACACUUAGCAAAUUAAAAAAGACUGAUGUGCCACUCUGUUGCCUUGGGCAGCACUGAGCAUGGCAGAGCAGCAGACCCCUGCAUCAGCUCUCUUGCUGUUGGACUGAGCACUCUCUUCCCUUCCCAUGGAAGGGGCACUUUGAAGACAAACUGGAUCCAGUCCCAAUAUACUUUGGAGAGGACAAACACAGACCUUUCUUUACUUAACUGUGCGCUGGGCAAUCUAAAAACCAUAUAAGCACUAAUCUAUUUGUUAUUCCAUCUCCUCCUCUUGCCUACAAGGAAGCACUGUUUUAUGCUUAUAUGUAUCAAUUAAUGGACCUAUAAAGAAAAUAACGAACAUCCUUGAAUACCUUCUGAGCAUACUCUAUUAAUUUUAAAAGGGAUGCAACAUACUGUACCCCCUGUAUUUCACCAAGAUAAAAGCCUAUAGAUUAAUUCCUAUUAAAACAGUUGGUAUUUUCAGGACAUGCAGAUGUAAUUUAUAGAGAGGCAAAAUACUCAUAUUAGCUCAAAGGCCACAGAAACUGUAGAUCUGUGUCUGUUACUGUAGUUGUACAGGCAUUCAUUGUACAGAGAGCAGUUGAAAAGGCAGAGUAUGUAAUCUGAAUACUAAAUUUGUGAAUAGUUUCUCACUUGGGCUGGUUAGGCUUUUCAAGCGCAGCGGAUGCUUUGUGGGGGACUUUGUAAAACAUUCCGCUAAUAUAUCACAUGGUUCCUGUAUUUUCUUCUCUUAUCUUUACUGUCAGAGCUUUAUUCAUGAAGACACAAUAUUUGAUUCUUUAAAGGGCACCAGCUCCUGCUCUGUGCUCUCCACCUGAAUUCAGUGUGCUCCAUGUGAGACUAUUUUUAUAACAAAUACUUCUUCCUUUCUGUAUGAAGUGGACAACUUUAGGUGUGUAUAACCCAGAAGUAUACAAGAAACAGAUCUUUUCCCUCACCCUCAUAUAUUCCAAUUCCUAUAUCCAAGUUACUUGGAAAAUAGUGUUAUAUUUUCUUUUUUUAUCAUCCACAAUAAAAGUGUACAGAUUUUGUCUUUUAUUAGAGAGAUAUAAAUGUAUAUGGAUAUUUCAUUUAUGAGGAAGGGAAAUUCUAAAGUGUCCUAACAAAAUUUAAUUAUGACACAAGCUACUAACAGAGAAUCCUUGAGCCUGGGAUCAUUUUUAUUCGUUGCUUGUACAGCACCUAGCACAAUGAGGAUUUAUGCAUGACCUAGCUUCCCACUUAGUACUUCAACAAAAAUAAGAAUUAACUCUUGCUCUGCUUAUGGCAAGAAAACACAGUACCAACAGAAUUAUAUGCAUGCCAUACUGCACAGAGAACACCACAGAAUUAUGAAGCUCACGAAGCAGCCAAUACAGAAGUGUUCUGGAUCUGUUUAAAUUACUGGAGCUGCUGGAGGCGUUUAGGCAGAGAGACAAUUGUUACUCAAUCUAAAACUUGGCAAAAUGACAUGUGUCAAUUAUGUUGAGUAUUGAAAAGGACCAGGGAACAUUCAAUGACAAAUGACCAGGCUCACAGCUUUGUAACAGCUGAAAAUUUGGUGGAAAUGGAGUUCUUCCACUUCUCUAUGACAGGAUUACCAUGAAUGUUGAAUGUGAAAAGGUCAAAAGUUGCCAUUGGGCUUGAAAGGGCUUCAACACAGAAGAAUUCUAUCAAAUUUGGCUAUGAACAUCGUGGGAGCAGGUCUUGUAGGGCUUCCAGCAUUGACCUGCUGGGUUCAGCCUGCUCUAUUCAUGCUGGGUGAAAUACAAACCAGAUACAGCUACCCAAUGCAUACAUUUCUGUACUUGGAAAGAGUUUCUACUGCAGCUCUUUAAAGCUUAGCAAAGAAUUGAGGAAUAAGGACAUUUUUUCGUUGAAUCCAGCCUGCCUGUAAGUGCACAGCUAUGGCCAACGGCUUCCUGGGGCCCAGGAGCUACAGGGGUGCCCCAGGCCAGCCUGGCAGGAGCCUCAGCAGCCCAGGGUCCAUCCCACAGCACCCAGGCCACUGAUGAGGCCCAGUCUAACCAAAAACCCCUGAUUUUCAGGCAAAAUGAGGCUGCUACUGAGACAGCUCAGAGUUCAAGCCAAGAAGUCAGUCUGCAGGCCAGGAACAGCAGGGUCCAUGGCUUGCCAGGGGCACAGCUAGGAGACCAACCCUCCUCAAACAAAGCCCAGGCUCUGGGACUGAGCUUAAAUGAGCUCCUGACUCAUAGGAGUAUGAGUGAAGGCCCUAGCUGAGGCUGAUCAGGGUAAUUUAGGUCUGUUAGUGCCAACCCCACUUGAACUCUGAAUAAUAUGGAGCAACAAGGAAAGUAAUAGUUGACCUGGGUGAGGUUGUGACCUCAUUAAGUGAGGUUGUCUCACUCACUGAUUGUGUACACUCUCACUUCGCAGGAGCUAGUACAAAAUCAUUGAAUCAUUUAGGUUGCAAGAGACCUCUAAGAUUCAGUCCAGCUGUUGCCCCAGCUCUGCCAGGCCCACCACCAGCCCAUGUCCCCAAGUGCCACCUCUCCAUUAGUUAGGUGUCCCCCUCCUGCUUUGCUGGAAGAGCGGUGCUGUGCAUGAGGGGUGUAACUGGUGUGUUGAGCUCACAUCACACCUUACCUAGCAGGAGCUUGCAGAUCUCCCUGCAAGUUAAGCAGGCUGUUUUCCCUGUUUCUACUUGGGUGGUUGCUGGGCCUUUCUUCAAAGCACCUGAAGGAUGUCCUGUUUAAUCAUUUCAGUCCUCACUCACCACAUUUCCAAAAACAACACACCACCCCUGUUCAGUGUGCAUAGCUACAGAAAAGUCAGCACAAAUCUACAGGAACAUACUUUACCCUCAUUAGUUCUUGUUCCUCUUCCUUCUCUGCUUUUCCAGUAUGAAGCCAGCGCUUGUAGAGAGCCAGAAAGAGGCUAGGUCGCUAAAACUGGUUUCUGUGGAUGUCAGGGACUGAACAGGUAAAGCAUCUUUCAGCCUGACAACAAUUCCUGCAGGUGUGUGGCUCUGCAGUCUGACCUGAUUUAGGGGCUGGGCACAGCAGUCCCAGGUCAGGGAUUAGUCAGCCCCCUUCGAGCUGUUCAGCACCAGGCAUGCACUCAGUAGGAGCAGUGCAGUGUGAAGGAUCACAACUGCGCUGAGCACUGGGGGUGAAAAGCUGUCAUACAAACCAGUCUUUAGAUCCUUGCAGAAACGGUGUGUCAUGGUCUAAUGAAGUCAGAACAUGAAAUAGUCUGAGAAAACAAAAACGCCCGGCCCUCCACCUCCAGAAGAGGCACAGCUGAGCCAAAGGCUGACACCCUCAUCUCAGAGAUGAAGGACAGCCUGGGGCCUAGGCCAGAUUCUGGAUUGUGGGUGACUAGCUUACAAUACUUUGCUUUGGAGCAGGAUAUUAAUUUCCCCUCCAUUUAUAAGGGCUGUUCUGCCAUAGGCUCCUUGCUUAGCCUCCUAUUCCUCAUCUGCUUCUAGAGUCCAUGGAAAAGACUGAUGUGUCCAUUUUGCAGCUCCAAGCACCAAAAUUAGAUUCCAGCUUGUAGUCACUCUCCAGAGGAGCAUUUAUUUCUCCAGUGACUACAGAGAGAGGUUGUGUUUACCAUCUGGCUAAAUUAGUUCCUUACAGUGGGUGAAUAUCCCUGUCCAUACUUCUGUUCUUCAUUGAGGAAAUAAAGCUGAUGGUCCUGCUUCUCCUCUGUCAACUGUGCUGAGAAUCAGCAACGUUCCAGGGGCAGGGACUUGGACACAGCUGAGAUGGAGCCUUGCCUGUGGGCAAAGGGACAUUUUAAAAAGGGGGUUUUAUGCCUCCUUUGUGCUUGUAAGCAAAGUGUCAUCCUAGAAGUGUCCUGGGGCUUGAUUGUGAAAAGCGACACCUGAAAUUAACUGGCCACAUAAUCAGCUUUAAGGGGAGCUAGGUUAACUUUGAUUAAGUGCAAAUAACAAUUUAGAUCAUAAAAAUAAAACAUUAGCAUCUUUUUAUGCUCCUCUUAGCACUGCAUGAAACAACAUGUGACCACAGCCUUUAAAGCUGCAUGUUAACUUUUACUGCAAAGCUUUGCUCUGUCUCACUCUGGUAGCAGAGCUGACAGAGUGCUCCACAGCCCUUUAUAGGAGACUGAUUCUUUUACUGGUAUAAGACUUCUUCAUUUUCUAAAGUUUUAUUUAUUAUUCUUACUUUACUUGUGGAAAGGAAUAACAUUUCUCUACAUCCAGACAUUACCCACACAUAACUGUGCAAGCAAAGAAAACAUAACUUCAUUUUUGUGGUUUGAAAAUGCCUCCUUUUUCCUGUUUAUUUUUUUUGUUGUUUUUUAACAGGGAGGCAUUUCUAUUUUUUAGUUCUCCUUUGGUGAUAUAAAUCAAUGAACACAUCAUUUGGUCUCUAUAUUAAAGAGAUAAUCUUUUGCUCCUGGC
Long non-coding RNA from Parus major (Great Tit), 6433 nucleotides. RefSeq lists it as uncharacterized. The transcript is spliced from 2 exons. The record is from RefSeq and is a predicted model, not a curated record. NCBI's taxonomy places the organism in Eukaryota, Metazoa, Chordata, Aves, Passeriformes, Paridae.